Molecule: long non-coding RNA, 1544 nt
Filed under: Cyanistes caeruleus (blue tit)
Lineage: Eukaryota; Metazoa; Chordata; Aves; Passeriformes; Paridae
Description: lncRNA (ENSCCEG00000003505.1)
Source: RNAcentral
UGGAAAAAGGGAUUUACAGCAAGUUUUUCUUCUUCUGAUGAGGCACUGGACUGGCAUGGCUUUUACCGAGGCAGCAGGUCGCUGUAUGUACAAGGAAGAAGGUGCCUGCCCGUGAUUUGCUGUUAUUCCGUGGAGGAUUUCGCAUCAGUUCCCUGAUUGCGUGCUUGGAUGAUGGGGCCUCUGUGUAUGCAGAUGACCGUCGUAGUGUUAGUUUUCCUAUUAUUAUGCUGAACGAUCAAAAAAUUUUAAAUGUCAUUGAAAACCAUAGUAUAUUUAAAACAAAUAAAACAGAGUCUAGUAGCAUACUGCCCUUCAAAUGGAAUUGUACUCUCAAAUUGUGAACGCUUUCUUGCAUGCUGCUCCUCACUUUCUCGGUUUAAAUUCCCUUCUUGCAGCCUCACAGUCUGAGAUGCCACGGAGAAUUUGUGUUAUGUCACAGUUACUUAGUUGCAGGAUGUCAUCCCAGUUGUACCAUUUCUGCCUCCUGUUUCUGAAGCCUUUUCUCGACAAGCACAUGCAGUUUUACCAGGGUUCUUCUGAAUGAUCCUCAUCCAAUAAUUUAAGCAACUUCUGCAUUAUGGUGCUGUGAAGUCCAUUAAAUUAAUGUCCAGGCAUCACAGAAGAAUGCUGACUAGAAUGCAUUUUACUUCGCUCAUCUGCAGCUACCAAAUACUCUGGAUGCUGUCCCCAGCUGUGAAGUCCACGGUGGCAUCCAGGGACUGUUCAAAACCUCACCAGGGCUGGCUGGCGACUGCAGAAAGGGAGCCAGUGGAGGAUGGGUGGCUCAUCCAAGUGCACUGCUGUUUCUGAAGAGUUUUUGGUUUAUAUAUAGGCAGGCAAGCAAGGUAGGCCCAGGAUAAAGUACUGUAGAAAUAACUUCUUUUUCUACUUUGCUGUUUUAUAGUAAUGACAGGAAAUAGUUGCAUUCAUUGACUUCACAGAGCUAGGGAGCUGUGGAAAGCAUGGGUAAAAGGAGGGAAAUGUGAGUCCAGGGGAGAUCCAUCACAAUCUGAAAGAAGUGCAGAUGUUGGAGUGACAGGAAAAAGCACCAGAUCUCAUGAAGAAAUAAGGAGAAGUGAAACGUGGGCAGAAACAAGAGGAUGAAUGAAAGGAAAAUCCCAUAAUUGUUUUUCUAGCUGUUAUCUUUAAGAUUUGAGGGCAUGUGGAAUAAUCCACAGCUUCAGUGCCCUGACAUUGUGACUUAGCAGGUGGAACAGAAACAGAAGGGUUCAAGGAUGGUUCUGGAAAGUGAGUCUCAAGGCCAGGCCUUGGAGUUCAGCAGCACUUGGGAAUCACUUGCUUCUCAGGUGGUUCUUUUGUGCCUGACAAAACUUCCCCUUCUUCCCAACAAGCUGAAUAUCUUUCCAAGAUAACCUUCUCACUGGAAAAUGAAGUUAAGUGAUCUCUGCAUUACAGAGGGGGGGAAAUUCCUGGUGGUACUGACUCCCAGCUGGAGCUCUUUGUGUUCAACAUUUGUGGCCUGUGCCCAGCCCACAAAAUACUAACAGCCUCCUUUUGCUUUUCACAAAGGCUUGCCUGCUUAC